Molecule: ribosomal RNA, 468 nt
Filed under: uncultured bacterium
Lineage: Bacteria
Description: partial 16S ribosomal RNA
Rfam family: Bacterial small subunit ribosomal RNA
Source: RNAcentral
GACGAACGCUGGCGGCGUGCUUAACACAUGCAAGUCGAACGGAAAGGCCCUGCUUUUGUGGGGUGCUCGAGUGGCGAACGGGUGAGUAACACGUGAGUAACCUGCCCUUGACUUUGGGAUAACUUCAGGAAACUGGGGCUAAUACCGGAUAGGAGCUCCUGCUGCAUGGUGGGGGUUGGAAAGUUUCGGCGGUUGGGGAUGGACUCGCGGCUUAUCAGCUUGUUGGUGGGGUAGUGGCUUACCAAGGCUUUGACGGGUAGCCGGCCUGAGAGGGUGACCGGCCACAUUGGGACUGAGAUACGGUCCAGACUCCUACGGGAGGCAGCAGUGGGGAAUAUUGCACAAUGGGCGGAAGCCUGAUGCAGCAACGCCGUGUGCGGGAUGACGGCCUUCGGGUUGUAAACCGCUUUCGCCUGUGACGAAGCGUGAGUGACGGUAAUGGGUAAAGAAGCACCGGCUAACUACGUG